RNAcentral lists this long non-coding RNA (321 nucleotides) under Dermacentor andersoni. Its description in RNAcentral is "uncharacterized LOC126539172". Lineage: Eukaryota; Metazoa; Arthropoda; Arachnida; Ixodida; Ixodidae. The record is from RNAcentral.
CCAUUUUGUCAUAUGUCGGUUCAUGCGGUUGGAUGCAAGGAUGCCCACCUGCUUUGGUGAACAGCUUUAGCUUCAGCCGUCAGGUCGGAAUUCACGCCGCCUUUUCGAAGGGACCAAAGAGGCCUCCUCGUGGCUCAUGCUUCGAACCAUGGAGGGACCGACAGCCGGGUGAAGUUCCGCUUCCCUGCAGACGAGAGCGGGUAAGACAUUCUACUCAAGUGACUAGACCACACGGCCGCUUCCAGAACCGUCUUCCUCGACGUGCUUGUUCAUCAAGUUCGUCUCAACGGUUCCGAAGAAUGGCUACGGCAAAUUUAUCAA